UACAGAGGGGGCAAGCGUUGUUCGGAAUUACUGGGCGUAAAGGGCGCGUAGGCGGCCUGUUAAGUCGAACGUGAAAUCCCCGGGCUCAACCCGGGAACUGCGUCCGAUACUGGCAGGCUUGAAUCCGGGAGAGGGAUGCGGAAUUCCAGGUGUAGCGGUGAAAUGCGCAGAUAUCAGGAAGAACACCCGUGGCUAAGGCGGCUCUCUAGUACGGUACUGACGCUGAGACGCGAAAGCGUGGGGAGCGAACAGG
RNAcentral lists this ribosomal RNA (253 nucleotides) under uncultured bacterium. Its description in RNAcentral is "partial 16S ribosomal RNA". It matches the Rfam family "Bacterial small subunit ribosomal RNA", at positions 524 to 776 of the family's 1533-position model. The record is from RNAcentral.